Molecule: ribosomal RNA, 467 nt
Filed under: uncultured bacterium
Lineage: Bacteria
Description: partial 16S ribosomal RNA
Rfam family: Bacterial small subunit ribosomal RNA
Source: RNAcentral
GACGAACGCUGGCGGCGUGCUUAACACAUGCCAGUCGAACGGAAAGGCCUCUUUCGGGGGGUACUCGAGUGGCGAACGGGUGAGUAACACGUUAGUAACCUGCCCUUGACUUUGGGAUAACUUCAGGAAACUGGGGCUAAUACCGGAUAGGAGCUCCUGCUGCAUGGUGGGGGUUGGAAAGUUUCGGCGGUUGGGGAUGGACUCGCGGCUUAUCAGCUUGUUGGUGGGGUAGUGGCUUACCAAGGCUUUGACGGGUAGCCGGCCUGAGAGGGUGACCGGCCACAUUGGGACUGAGAUACGGCCCAGACUCCUACGGGAGGCAGCAGUGGGGAAUAUUGCACAAUGGGUGGAAGCCUGAUGCAGCAACGCCGUGUGCGGGAUGACGGCCUUCGGGUUGUAAACCGCUUUCGCUCAUGACGAAGCUUUGUGUGACGGUAGUGGGUAAAGAAGCACCGGCUAACUACGUG